This 520-nucleotide ribosomal RNA is filed under the name uncultured bacterium. RNAcentral describes it as "bacterial SSU rRNA". It matches the Rfam family "Bacterial small subunit ribosomal RNA", at positions 8 to 518 of the family's 1533-position model. The record is from RNAcentral.
AGAGUUUGAUUCUGGCUCAGGAUGAACGCUAGCUACAGGCUUAACACAUGCAAGUCGAGGGGCAGCAUGAGAUUAGCUUGCUAAUCUUGAUGGCGACCGGCGCACGGGUGAGUAACGCGUAUCCAACCUUCCCCCUACUCAGGCAUAGCCCGGUGAAAACCGGAUUAACUCCUGAUAGUUUCACUAGAUGGCAUCUGACGGCGAAUAAAGCUUUGCGGUAAGGGAUGGGGAUGCGUCUGAUUAGCUUGUUGGCGGGGUAACGGCCCACCAAGGCGACGAUCAGUAGGGGUUCUGAGAGGAAGGUCCCCCACAUUGGGACUGAGACACGGUCCAAACUCCUACGGGAGGCAGCAGUGAGGAAUAUUGGUCAAUGGGCGCGAGCCUGAACCAGCCAAGUAGCGUGCAAGAUGACGGCCCUAUGGGUUGUAAACUGCUUUUGUAUGGGAAUAAAGUCAGGGACGUGUCCCUGUUUGCAUGUACCAUAAGAAUAAGGGCCGGCUAAUUCCGUGCCAGCCGCCGC